This 217-nucleotide unclassified non-coding RNA is filed under the name uncultured Russula. RNAcentral's name for it is "sequence contains ITS2". Lineage: Eukaryota; Fungi; Basidiomycota; Agaricomycetes; Russulales; Russulaceae. The record is from RNAcentral.
ACAUCCUUCAACCUUUCUUGGUUUCUCAAUCAAGGAAGGCUUGGACUUUGGGGGUUUUUCAUUGCUGGCCUCUGUUGAAGCCAGCUCCUCCUAAAUGGAUUAGUAGGGUCUGCUUUGCCCGAUCCUUGACGUGAUAAGAUGUUUCUACGUCUUGGGUUUAGCACUGUUGCUUUGGGCCCUGCUUCUAACCGUCUUGCAUUCAGGACAGUGUCAUGAA